Molecule: long non-coding RNA, 1614 nt
Organism: Strigops habroptila (Kakapo)
Lineage: Eukaryota; Metazoa; Chordata; Aves; Psittaciformes; Psittacidae
Source: Ensembl
GUUUUCCAGUUUAUUUGCUUGGAUUCAGAACCAUAUCCAUACAGGUGCAUAUAUCAGAGGUACAAGAUAAGUUUUCAUGCCUUCAAAUGCAUAAGACAGCAUGCACCAGUGUAUCAGAAAUUCUUUUCUGUACCUCAGCCCAUAGGGAUCUGUGAUAAUCCAUGAAUAUCUCCUAGAAUUUCCUCCUGAAGAGAUUUGUAAAGUACUCUUUUAACAGAUUAAUGCAAUAAAUGUAAGCACAACUGCAAUUUUUAUUAGACAUGUUCUCUUCUGUCACAAAAUUAUUCACCUAAAUGAAGUGAUCCCUUUGCCACCAGUACUAUCUGGUACAAUACUGCACCAGAAGACAAAUGAGAAACAGAAGUGAAGGGGGAAGUGGGUUAAAAAACAGUAAAUGAAUCUUGGAAGACUAGCCCAGAGUAAGGAUGUGGAAGAUGUACUUUUUGAAACCUGCAGCAGUGUUAUAAAAAGGAAGAAAGAGCACUGAAAUAAUAUUUUUUAUAUUGAACUCUAAUCAUCACUUCCACAGCACAUCUAUGGCUUAUGUUCUAUUUAUAAUUAAUGUUUUCUAAGCAUAUUCCAUGGAAACAGCCAGCCAAUCAGCUGCCCAAAGUACAGGAAAUAAGCUGUCAGCUAGAGAUACUGCAUAAAUCUUUUCUUAAAAUAAACAGCUCUGUAGUUAGGAUGGCUGCUUCUAGAAUUCUGACAGAGUUGUGUAGGAUACAGUCUACUCACUGAGAAAUAAAAACUAUGGCUAAGCUAGUCCACAGCAUACAGAUUGAGGUACAGGCUAUUAUGCUGUGUUGUUGCUGCUCCAGCUUAUGAAACAGAACGUUCUAAGUCUGUCUAUCUUAAAAAAAGCAAAGCAAGAGGGCAACAGAACUCUCCCAGAUUUUGCUGGUGAUCUAGAGAAAAAAAAUCUUUGGACCUAUAAAUGUGUGCAGUAUUUUCACUCUUGCAAAUAUGACAUCAACCUCAAGAGGGUAGUAUAAAACAGCCUAUGUUACAAUAUCUGCUCUAGGACUUUUUCCAAAACAGCUAUGCCAUCUACUUGACAAAAUACGCUCAAUUUCUACCCUCUGUCACAGUACAGAUAAUUUUGAAGCUGGCAUUCUCAUUAUCUUAUUUCUGAGCAAUGACAUUGAGGGGAAAAAAACCGUCUAACAAAAGGUGGGUAAAUUACCUGGGUAUUCAGUACAACUGGUUGUUCUAACCCAAGUACUGCAUACAAUGGAUGCCAAGAUGCAACGAAUUAACAAUGAACAAACUUACUUUACAACAAGACAAGCCCCUCAAUCAAAUGGUGGAGCUGAAUAUGCUUGUUUCUUUGUGGAUCAUUCUUACUAAUAAUUUGAGAUAAUGAAAUAUAUAUUUAUGUUUCAUUAUAUAUGUUUUUAUAUAUAUAUACAUAGAGAGAAUUAUCUUCUUCCACUAAUUUAAGAUGAUUAUUCAAUUGUGAAAACGAAAUAAGAUGACUAAUUAGGCUAUAAUCAACCUAGUUCCUAUGCAAAAUAAUAAAUAAAAAGAAGAGUAAUUUCCCACUAAAGAAGUAACAAGAAUCACUCAAUCAGCUACUAUUUUAUAAUUACUUGAAGCGUUUAAUUCUUUACAGAC